AUGGCGGCGCGUGGGCGGGUGGACGAACGCCUAGGAGGGACACGGCUAAGGGCGGCGACUGAUAGGGUGGCUCGGGUGCGGGGUAGGAGCAAUUCGGGAGGUAGCGCUGGUUCUUCUAUAAAAAUCCCACGCCCCCAAGGUUUGCUGCUGGAGCAAACACGCAUCUCGCUCGUGCACUGGCAGAUGCUCGCCUUGCUCACCGGGGCAGUCACCAGUGAGAUGACGACGUUGACUGUGGAGGAUGUGCAGCGGGUGAACGGCAGCCGCCGGUUCGCCGCCGCGCUGGCCGCCGCCUCCCCCUUCAGCUCUCUCACCGACGCGCUACUCGCCGCCCGCCGCAUCUGGGGCAACGAUGCACCCCAUCUUUCUUGUGUCAUGUGGUAUCCUGAUCCAUGGAAUACCACGGUUCAAAGGCGUUAUGCAAAUAGGUUGAUUGUUGAGCUUGAGAUUGCGGCAGAGGAAGAACUCAAGAUAACUGAGUUGCGCCUUGCAAAGCUUUUCUCGUCAGAUUCUGCUGCUCCACCGACUUCAGUUUUUGGCCAACCGGAUAAAACAUCAGAAUGGCACCACAUAAGUAAUGAGCAAUCAGGAUAUGUUGCCAUGAGUAUGAGGUACAACACCUGGAGAAGGGAGUUGUUGGAAGUGAUGCCAAAAGACACCGAGACAAUUGGGGAGUAUGUUUAUGAAGAGCCAGAUCUAUCAGGUGGAGUCGGAGGGAUUGACUACAUCAUUGCCUAUGGAGACGAAAACAAAUAA
Molecule: ribosomal RNA, 756 nt
Filed under: Triticum aestivum (bread wheat)
Lineage: Eukaryota; Viridiplantae; Streptophyta; Magnoliopsida; Poales; Poaceae
Description: partial small subunit ribosomal RNA
Source: RNAcentral